This 918-nucleotide long non-coding RNA is filed under the name Homo sapiens (human). RNAcentral describes it as "long non-coding RNA NONHSAT169791.1". The record is from RNAcentral. Lineage: Eukaryota; Metazoa; Chordata; Mammalia; Primates; Hominidae.
CAUGGAUCUCAUGUGCAAGAAAAUGAAGCACCUGUGGUUCUUCCUCCUGCUGGUGGCGGCUCCCAGAUGGGUCCUGUCCCAGCUGCAGCUGCAGGAGUCGGGCCCAGGACUGGUGAAGCCUUCGGAGACCCUGUCCCUCACCUGCACUGUCUCUGGUGGCUCCAUCAGCAGUAGUAGUUACUACUGGGGCUGGAUCCGCCAGCCCCCAGGGAAGGGGCUGGAGUGGAUUGGGAGUAUCUAUUAUAGUGGGAGCACCUACUACAACCCGUCCCUCAAGAGUCGAGUCACCAUAUCCGUAGACACGUCCAAGAACCAGUUCUCCCUGAAGCUGAGCUCUGUGACCGCCGCAGACACGGCUGUGUAUUACUGUGCGAGACACACAGUGAGGGGAGGUGAGUCUCUGUCCCACACCGCAGUCACAUGGCGCCAUCUCUCUUGCAGCUUCCACCAAGGGCCCAUCGGUCUUCCCCCUGGCGCCCUGCUCCAGGAGCACCUCUGGGGGCACAGCGGCCCUGGGCUGCCUGGUCAAGGACUACUUCCCAGAACCGGUGACGGUGUCGUGGAACUCAGGCGCCCUGACCAGCGGCGUGCACACCUUCCCGGCUGUCCUACAGUCCUCAGGACUCUACUCCCUCAGCAGCGUGGUGACCGUGCCCUCCAGCAGCUUGGGCACCCAGACCUACACCUGCAACGUGAAUCACAAGCCCAGCAACACCAAGGUGGACAAGAGAGUUGAGCUCAAAACCCCACUUGGUGACACAACUCACACAUGCCCACGGUGCCCAGAGCCCAAAUCUUGUGACACACCUCCCCCGUGCCCACGGUGCCCAGAGCCCAAAUCUUGUGACACACCUCCCCCAUGCCCACGGUGCCCAGCACCUGAACUCCUGGGAGGACCGUCAGUCUUCCUCUUCCCCC